This 256-nucleotide ribosomal RNA is filed under the name uncultured bacterium. Its description in RNAcentral is "partial 16S ribosomal RNA". It matches the Rfam family "Bacterial small subunit ribosomal RNA", at positions 524 to 776 of the family's 1533-position model. The record is from RNAcentral.
GACGUAGGUGGCGAACGUUAUCCGGAAUUAUUGGGCGUAAAGGGUGCGUAGACGGCAGGAUAAGUUAUUGGUGGUAAAUCGAGGCUCAACCUCGUGGAAACUGAUAAUACUGUUUUGCUUGAGUGCAGGAGAGGUUAACGGAACUCCAUGUGGAGCGGUAAAAUGCGUAGAUAUAUGGAAGAACAUCAAUAACGGCGAAGGCAGUUAACUAUUCUGUUACUGACGUUGAGGCACGAAAGCGUGGGGAGCAAACAGG